Molecule: ribosomal RNA, 354 nt
Filed under: bacterium LimB-10-J-141
Lineage: Bacteria
Also listed under: 1 other name
Description: bacterial SSU rRNA
Rfam family: Bacterial small subunit ribosomal RNA
Source: RNAcentral
GGUCUGAGAGGAUGAUCCGCCCACACUGGGACUGAGACACGGCCCAGACUCCUACGGGAGGCAGCAGUGGGGAAUUUUGGACAAUGGGCGUAAGCCUGAUCCAGCCAUGCCGCGUGUCUGAAGAAGGCCUUCGGGUUGUAAAGGACUUUUGUCCGGGAGCAAAUCCCAGUGGUUAAUACCUACUGGGGCUGAGAGUACCGGAAGAAUAAGCACCGGCUAACUACGUGCCAGCAGCCGCGGUAAUACGUAGGGUGCAAGCGUUAAUCGGAAUUACUGGGCGUAAAGCGUGCGCAGGCGGUUGUGCAAGUCUGAUGUGAAAGCCCCGGGCUUAACCUGGGAACGGCAUUGGAGACU